Molecule: non-coding RNA, 72 nt
Organism: Dictyocaulus viviparus (bovine lungworm)
Lineage: Eukaryota; Metazoa; Nematoda; Chromadorea; Rhabditida; Metastrongylidae
Source: Rfam
GCUUCCGUGGCGCAAUGGCAGCGCGUUCGGCUGUUAACCGAAAGGUUGGUGGUUCGAGCCCACCCGGGAGCG